Molecule: ribosomal RNA, 253 nt
Filed under: uncultured bacterium
Lineage: Bacteria
Description: partial 16S ribosomal RNA
Rfam family: Bacterial small subunit ribosomal RNA
Source: RNAcentral
UACGAAGGGGGCUAGCGUUGUUCGGAAUCACUGGGCGUAAAGCGCACGUAGGCGGAUCUUUAAGUCAGGGGUGAAAUCCCGAGGCUCAACCUCGGAACUGCCUUUGAUACUGGGGAUCUCGAGUCCGGGAGAGGUGAGUGGAACUGCGAGUGUAGAGGUGAAAUUCGUAGAUAUUCGCAAGAACACCAGUGGCGAAGGCGGCUCUCUGGGACGGUACUGACGCUGAGACGCGAAAGCGUGGGGAGCGAACAGG